RNAcentral lists this long non-coding RNA (569 nucleotides) under Durio zibethinus. RNAcentral describes it as "long non-coding RNA (DZIB_LNC001254)". Lineage: Eukaryota; Viridiplantae; Streptophyta; Magnoliopsida; Malvales; Malvaceae. The record is from RNAcentral.
ACUUAUAAUAGCUGAUCAGAACAUAAAAAUUAAAAAGUGAAACAUUCAUUUAUAUCUGUCAAAGAUAUUACAAGCACAUGCAAACCUUCAGAAGGUUCUAUGAGAAGAGGAAAUUUUCAUAUGUAACAGGUAAUAAAACAUUGGUGCAUGUCUAGUCCGUCCCUCUUUUUUCAAGUGAAAAAAUCCCCACGUUGAUGCUUUAUUCUCCAUAUUCAAGCGAGAAAGGAGAAAGUUAUCAACAAGGUCAGAUCCACUUUAUGAAGAAGGGAACUAAAAAUUCUGUUUUACCCGUUAUAGAAGAUAGCACCUCCCACUACAAAAUUAUAAACUAGUUAUUUAUGAUGCUGUGGGUCAGGUCCCCCAGGACUUGUUCUCUCAAUCUGUUCAAACUGGUUUCUCAUAGCUUCUUCCUCCAGGUAUUGUCUCAAGGCCUCGAUAGAUUGGUUUAGAUUCCUCGUCUCUAACAAGAGGCGACUCUCUGAGCCUGCAGACAAAAGUAAGACCAAGGUAAGGCAUACCAGACACCUACAGAUAGACAUUGUAGUUGAAGUGAUUAAGUGACAACCUUG